UACGAAGGGGGCUAGCGUUGUUCGGAAUCACUGGGCGUAAAGCGCACGUAGGCGGACUUUCAAGUCAGGGGUGAAACCCCGGGGCUCAACCUCGGAAUUGCCUUUGAUACUGUAGGUCUCGAGUCCGGAAGAGGUGGGUGGAAUUCCUAGUGUAGCGGUGGAAUGCGUAGAGAUCCGGAAGAACACCGGUGGCGAAGGCGGCCCGCUGGGCUGUGGCUGACGCUGAGGCGCGACAGCGUGGGGAGCAAACAGG
RNAcentral lists this ribosomal RNA (253 nucleotides) under uncultured bacterium. Its description in RNAcentral is "partial 16S ribosomal RNA". It matches the Rfam family "Bacterial small subunit ribosomal RNA", at positions 524 to 776 of the family's 1533-position model. The record is from RNAcentral.